UACGUAGGGUGCAAGCGUUGUCCGGAAUUAUUGGGCGUAAAGAGCUCGUAGGCGGUUUGUCGUGUCUGCUGUGAAAACCCGAGGCUCAACCUCGGGCCUGCAGUGGGUACGGGCAGACUAGAGUGCGGUAGGGGAGAUUGGAAUUCCUGGUGUAGCGGUGGAAUGCGCAGAUAUCAGGAGGAACACCGAUGGCGAAGGCAGAUCUCUGGGCCGUAACUGACGCUGAGGAGCGAAAGCAUGGGGAGCGAACAGG
This 253-nucleotide ribosomal RNA is filed under the name uncultured bacterium. RNAcentral describes it as "partial 16S ribosomal RNA". It matches the Rfam family "Bacterial small subunit ribosomal RNA", at positions 524 to 776 of the family's 1533-position model. The record is from RNAcentral.